RNAcentral lists this ribosomal RNA (605 nucleotides) under Microbacteriaceae bacterium RM12EL_13B. RNAcentral describes it as "bacterial SSU rRNA". It matches the Rfam family "Bacterial small subunit ribosomal RNA", at positions 874 to 1477 of the family's 1533-position model. The record is from RNAcentral. Lineage: Bacteria; Bacillati; Actinomycetota; Actinomycetes; Micrococcales; Microbacteriaceae.
UGGGGAGUACGGCCGCAAGGCUAAAACUCAAAGGAAUUGACGGGGGCCCGCACAAGCGGCGGAGCAUGCGGAUUAAUUCGAUGCAACGCGAAGAACCUUACCAAGGCUUGACAUAUACCGGAAACGGCCAGAGAUGGUCGCCCCGCAAGGUCGGUAUACAGGUGGUGCAUGGUUGUCGUCAGCUCGUGUCGUGAGAUGUUGGGUUAAGUCCCGCAACGAGCGCAACCCUCGUUCUAUGUUGCCAGCACGUUAUGGUGGGAACUCAUAGGAGACUGCCGGGGUCAACUCGGAGGAAGGUGGGGAUGACGUCAAAUCAUCAUGCCCCUUAUGUCUUGGGCUUCACGCAUGCUACAAUGGCCGGUACAAAGGGCUGCGAUACCGUAAGGUGGAGCGAAUCCCAAAAAGCCGGUCUCAGUUCGGAUUGAGGUCUGCAACUCGACCUCAUGAAGUCGGAGUCGCUAGUAAUCGCAGAUCAGCAACGCUGCGGUGAAUACGUUCCCGGGCCUUGUACACACCGCCCGUCAAGUCAUGAAAGUCGGUAACACCCGAAGCCAGUGGCCUAACCCCUUGUGGGAUGGAGCUGUCGAAGGUGGGAUCGGUGAUUA